CAAGCUACUAAGGGCAAUCGGUGGAUGCCUAGGCACCAAGAGCCGAUGAAGGACGUUGUAACCUGCGAUAAGCCCCGGGGAGCUGGUAAACGAGCUUUGAUCCGGGGAUCUCCGAAUAGGGAAACCUCGAAAGAAACCGGAGUAAUGUCCGGCGACCUCUACCUGAAUAUAUAGGGUAGUUGGAGGGAACGUGGGGAAGUGAAACAUCUCAGUACCCACAGGAAAAGAAAACAACCGUGAUUCCGUAAGUAGUGGCGAGCGAACGCGGAUGAGGCCAAACCGUACAUGUGUGAUAGCUGACAGGCGUUGCAUGUGCGGUGUUGUGGGGCCAUUGGGACCGGGCUGUCGACUGGUCACACAGUAAGAAAUGAUCUCAGAAGUCGAAGUACUUUGGGAAAGUACGGCAUAGAAGGUAAUACCCCUGUAGACGUAAUGUGAUCACUGUGCAGUGUAACCCCAAGUAGCACCCAACCCCUGAAAUUGGGUGUGAAUCUGGCGGGACCACCCGUUAAGCCUAAAUACUCCUUGGUGACCGAUAGCGGACUAGUACCGUGAGGGAAAGGUGAAAAGCACCCCGACGAGGGGAGUGAAACAGAUCCUGAAACCGGACGCCUACAAGCAGUCGGAGCCGCCUUGCGCGGUGACGGCGUACCUUUUGUAUAAUGGGUCAGCGACUUUGUCUCUCGAGCAAGCUUAAGCCGGUAGGUGUAGGCGCAGCGAAAGCGAGUCUGAAUAGGGCGACGAGUUCGAGGGAUAAGACCCGAAACCGAGUGAUCUAGCCAUGUGCAGGUUGAAGGUGCGGUAACACGCACUGGAGGACCGAACCCACGUCUGUUGAAAAAGACGGGGAUGACGUGUGGCUAGGGGUGAAAGGCCAAUCAAACUCGGAGAUAGCUGGUUCUCCGCGAAAUCUAUUUAGGUAGAGCGUCUCGUAUUACCUUCGGGGGUAGAGCACUGGAUGGGCUAGGGGGUCCCAACGACUUACCAAACCUAACCAAACUCCGAAUACCGAAGAGUAGAGCGAGGCAGACACACUGCGGGUGCUAAGGUCCGUAGUGGAGAGGGAAACAGCCCUGACCGCCAGCUAAGGUCCCUAAGUUAUCACUAAGUGGGAAACGAUGUGGGAAUGCUUAGACAACCAGGAGGUUGGCUUAGAAGCAGCCAUCCUUUAAAGAAAGCGUAACAGCUCACUGGUCAAGCGUUCCUGCGCGGAAAAUGUAACGGGGCUUAAGUGAUACACCGAAGCUGCGGACUCGAAAGAGUGGUAGCGGAGCGUUCUGUAAGUCUGUGAAGGUGGCCUGCGAGGGCUGCUGGAGAUAUCAGAAGUGAGAAUGCUGACAUGAGUAGCGAUAAAGAGGGUGAGAGGCCCUCUCGCCGAAAGUCCAAGGGUUCCUGCGCAAUGCUAAUCAGCGCAGGGUAAGCCGGCCCCUAAGGCGAGGCCGAAAGGCGUAGUCGAUGGGAACCAGGUUAAUAUUCCUGGGCCAGCGGGUAGUGACGGAUUGCGGACGUUGUGCACUCUUACUGGAUUGAGUGUGCAGCCAAGCCGUCCCUGGAAAUAGCUCCCGCAUGAGACCGUACCCCAAACCGACACAGGUGGACUGGUAGAGCAUACCAAGGCGCUUGAGAGAACUCUGUUGAAGGAACUCGGCAAAUUACUCCCGUAAGUUCGCGAGAAGGGAGCCUGGCAUUAGGCAACUGGUGUCCAGGGGCACAGACCAGGGGGUGGCGACUGUUUAUUAAAAACACAGGGCUCUGCGAAGUCGCAAGACGACGUAUAGGGUCUGACGCCUGCCCGGUGCCGGAAGGUUAAAAGGAGGGGUGAGAGCUCCGAAUUGAAGCCCCGGUAAACGGCGGCCGUAACUAUAACGGUCCUAAGGUAGCGAAAUUCCUUG
This 1892-nucleotide ribosomal RNA is filed under the name Chattonella subsalsa. RNAcentral describes it as "partial Bacterial large subunit ribosomal RNA". It matches the Rfam family "Bacterial large subunit ribosomal RNA", at positions 4 to 1971 of the family's 2925-position model. Lineage: Eukaryota; Raphidophyceae; Chattonellales; Chattonellaceae. The record is from RNAcentral.